Molecule: long non-coding RNA, 385 nt
Organism: Ornithodoros turicata
Lineage: Eukaryota; Metazoa; Arthropoda; Arachnida; Ixodida; Argasidae
Exons: 3
Source: RefSeq, a predicted model, not a curated record
GUCAUGAAGAAAUUGCUGACACGUUAGUUGCAGUCCACCUCCACCAACAGGGUGGAAAACAAAGGUCGCCAUUCCGAUUAGCUGCUAUCUCCCAGUUCAAGCACUUUUGCUGUCUGGACACUGGUUCCUGUGGAUGGGCUGUUACAAGCUUCACUGUCUGAUAUAGAAGUGAUGAGCAUCCAUAAGGACACAUGGCAGAAAGGGAGUCUCUUUGAGAUGACAAACCCUCAUCACCUCAUGAGGAUACAAUGGUUGACGAAUGGUUCUCAAGUACAUCGAAACUUCAACAAAUAAUUCAUGAAAAAGCCAGUCAGUGCUAGCACCAGGAAUUGAACGUGGACCGUCCUGCUACCAGUCAGAGAUGUUACAUUUCAGGCGCUCAUUG